RNAcentral lists this ribosomal RNA (466 nucleotides) under uncultured bacterium. RNAcentral's name for it is "partial 16S ribosomal RNA". It matches the Rfam family "Bacterial small subunit ribosomal RNA", at positions 338 to 795 of the family's 1533-position model. The record is from RNAcentral.
CCUACGGGUGGCUGCAGUGAGGAAUAUUGGUCAAUGGGCGCGAGCCUGAACCAGCCAAGUCGCGUGAGGGAUGACGGUCCUACGGAUUGUAAACCUCUUUUGCCGGGGAGCAAGCGUGCGUUCGUGAACGCGCGUCGAGAGUACCCGGAGAAAAAGCAUCGGCUAACUCCGUGCCAGCAGCCGCGGUAAUACGGAGGAUGCGAGCGUUAUCCGGAUUUAUUGGGUUUAAAGGGUGCGUAGGCGGGCUUUUAAGUCAGCGGUAAAAAUUCGGGGCUCAACCCCGUCCGGCCGUUGAAACUGGGGGCCUUGAGUGGGCGAGAAGAAGAGGAGAGGGGAACUCCAUGUGUAGCGGUGAAAUGCGUAGAUAUAUGGAAGAACACCAGUGGCGAAAGCGGCUCUCUGGUCUGUAACUGACGCUGAGGUUCGAAAGCGUGGGUAGCAAACAGGAUUAGAUACCCGUGUAGUC